AGCGACGGGAGCAAUCCUGGUGGCGAGUGGCGAACGGGUGAGUAAUAUAUCGGAACGUGCCCAGUCGUGGGGGAUAACGUAGCGAAAGCUACGCUAAUACCGCAUACGAUCUAUGGGAUGAAAGCGGGGGAUCGCAAGACCUCGCGCGAUUGGAGCGGCCGAUAUCAGAUUAGGUAGUUGGUGAGGUAAAGGCUCACCAAGCCGACGAUCUGUAGCUGGUCUGAGAGGACGACCAGCCACACUGGGACUGAGACACGGCCCAGACUCCUACGGGAGGCAGCAGUGGGGAAUUUUGGACAAUGGGCGCAAGCCUGAUCCAGCCAUGCCGCGUGCAGGAUGACGGUCCUAUGGAUUGUAAACUGCUUUUGUACAGGAAGAAACACUACUUCGUGAAGUAGCUUGACGGUACUGUAAGAAUAAGGAUCGGCUAACUCCGUG
This 438-nucleotide ribosomal RNA is filed under the name uncultured bacterium. RNAcentral's name for it is "bacterial SSU rRNA". It matches the Rfam family "Bacterial small subunit ribosomal RNA", at positions 68 to 507 of the family's 1533-position model. The record is from RNAcentral.